UACGGAGGGGGCAAGCGUUAUUCGGAAUUAUUGGGCGUAAAGAGCGCGCAGGCGGUCGUUCAAGUCGAGUGUGAAAGCCCCCGGCUCAACUGGGGAGGGUCACUCGAUACUGAUCGACUCGAAGGCAGGAGAGGGAAGUGGAAUUCCCGGUGUAGUGGUGAAAUGCGUAGAUAUCGGGAGGAACACCAGUGGCGAAGGCGACUUCCUGGCCUGUUCUUGACGCUGAGGCGCGAAAGCUAGGGGAGCAAACGGG
RNAcentral lists this ribosomal RNA (253 nucleotides) under uncultured bacterium. Its description in RNAcentral is "partial 16S ribosomal RNA". It matches the Rfam family "Bacterial small subunit ribosomal RNA", at positions 524 to 776 of the family's 1533-position model. The record is from RNAcentral.